CCUACGGGAGGCAGCAGUGGGGAAUAUUGCACAAUGGGGGAAACCCUGAUGCAGCGACGCCGCGUGAGUGAAGAAGUAACUCGGUAUGUAAAGCUCUAUCAGCAGGGAAGAAAAUGACGGUACCUGAGGAAGAAGCCACGGCUAACUACGUGCCAGCAGCCGCGGUAAUACGUAGGGGGCAAGCGUAAUCCGGAUUUACUGGGUGUAAAGGGAGCGUAGACGGCAGUGCAAGUCUGGAGUGAAAGGCUAGGGCUCAACCCUCGUACUGCUCUGGAAACUGUGGGGCUGGAGUGCAGGAGAGGCAGGUGGAAUUCCUAGUGUAGCGGUGAAAUGCGUAGAUAUUAGGAGGAACACCAGUGGCGAAGGCGGCUUGCUGGACCGUAACUGACGUUGAGGCUCGAAAGCGUGGGGAGCAAACAGGAUUAGAUACCCUGGUAGUC
This 440-nucleotide ribosomal RNA is filed under the name uncultured bacterium. RNAcentral describes it as "partial 16S ribosomal RNA". It matches the Rfam family "Bacterial small subunit ribosomal RNA", at positions 338 to 795 of the family's 1533-position model. The record is from RNAcentral.